GCGGUCGCCUCCCAAAAGGUAACGGAGGCGCUCAAAGGUUCUCUCAGUACGGUCGGAAAUCGUACGUAGAGUGUAAAGGCAAAAGAGAGCUUGAUUGCAAGACAUACAGGUCGAGCAAGGAUGAAAAUCGGACUUAGUGAUCCGGUGGUUCUGCGUGGAAGGGCCAUCGCUCAACGGAUAAAAGCUACCCUGGGGAUAACCGGCUUAUCUCCCCCAAGAGUCCACAUCGACGGGGAGGUUUGGCACCUCGAUGUCGGCUCAUCACAUCCUGGGGCUGUAGUAGGUCCCAAGGGUUGGGCUGUUCGCCCAUUAAAGUGGUACGCGAGCUGGGUUCAGAACGUCG
RNAcentral lists this ribosomal RNA (343 nucleotides) under Clostridioides difficile. Its description in RNAcentral is "bacterial LSU rRNA". It matches the Rfam family "Bacterial large subunit ribosomal RNA", at positions 2279 to 2621 of the family's 2925-position model. Lineage: Bacteria; Bacillati; Bacillota; Clostridia; Peptostreptococcales; Peptostreptococcaceae. The record is from RNAcentral.